RNAcentral lists this ribosomal RNA (475 nucleotides) under uncultured organism. Its description in RNAcentral is "partial 16S ribosomal RNA". It matches the Rfam family "Bacterial small subunit ribosomal RNA", at positions 334 to 800 of the family's 1533-position model. The record is from RNAcentral.
CACUCCUACGGGAGGCAGCAGUGGGGAAUUUUGGACAAUGGGCGAAAGCCUGAUCCAGCAAUGCCGCGUGAGUGAAGAAGGCCUUCGGGUUGUAAAGCUCUUUUGUCAGGGAAGAAACGGUGAAAGCUAAUAUCUUUUGCUAAUGACGGUACCUGAAGAAUAAGCACCGGCUAACUACGUGCCAGCAGCCGCGGUAAUAUGUAGGGUGCAAGCGUUAAUCGGAAUUACUGGGCGUAAAGCGUGCGCAGGCGGUUUUGUAAGUCUGAUGUGAAAUCCCCGGGCUCAACCUGGGAAUUGCAUUGGAGACUGCAAGGCUAGAAUCUGGCAGAGGGGGGUAGAAUUCCACGUGUAGCAGUGAAAUGCGUAGAUAUGUGGAGGAACACCGAUGGCGAAGGCAGCCCCCUGGGUCAAGAUUGACGCUCAUGCACGAAAGCGUGGGGAGCAAACAGGAUUAGAAACCCGUGUAGUCCCAUGA